GUAUCUGGAAGUGGACAUUUGGAGCGCUCUCAGGACUACGGUGAAAAAGGAAAUAUCUUCCAAUAAAAGCUACAUAGAAGCAAUGUCAGAAACUUUUUCAUGAUGUAUCUACUCAGCUAACAGAGUUGAACCUUUCUUUUGAGAGAGCAGUUUUGAAACACUCUUUUUGUGGAAUCUGCAAGUGGAUAUUUGUCUAGCUUUGAGGAUUUCGUUGGAAACUGGAUUACAUAUAAAAAGCAGACAGCAGCAUUCCCAGUAACUUCCUUGUGAUGUUUGCAUUCAAGUCACAGAGUUGAACAUUCCCUUUCAUAGAGCAGGUUUGAAACACUCUUUUUGUAGUAUCUGGAUGAGGACAUUUGGAGCGCUUUCAGGCCUAUGGUGAAAAAGGAAAUAUCUUCCCCUGAAAACUAGACAGAAGCAUUCUGAGAAUCUUAUUUGUGAUGUUCGCCCUCAACUAACAGUGUUGAAGCUUUCUUUUGAUAGAGCAGUUUUGAAACACUCUUUUUGUAAAAUCUGCAAGAGGAUAUUUGGAUAGCUUUGAGGAUUUCAUUGGAAACGGGAUUGUCUUCAUAUAAACUCUAGACAGAAGCAUUCUCAGAAGCUUCAUUGGGAUGUUUCAAUUGAAGUCACAGUGUUGAACAUUCCCUUUCAUAGAGCAGGUUUGAAACACUCUUUUUGUAGUAUCUGGAUGUGGACAUUUGGAGCGCUUUCAGGCCUAUGGUGAAAAAGGAAAUAUCUUCCCCUGAAAACUAGACAGAAGCAUUCUCAGAAUCUUAUUUGUGAUGUGCGCCCUCAACUAACAGUGUUGAAGCUUUCUUUUGAUAGAGCAGUUUUGAAACACUCUUUUUGUAAAAUCUGCAAGAGGAUAUUUGGAUAGAUUUGAGGAUUUCGUUGGAAACGGGAUUGUCUUCAUAUAAACUCUAGACAGAAGCAUUCUCAGAAGCUUCAUUGGGAUGUUUCAAUUGAAGUCACAGUGUUGAACAGUCCCUUUCAUAGAGCAGGUUUGAAACAAUCUUUUUGUAGUAUCUGGAAGUGGACAUUUGGAGCGCUCUCAGGACUGCGGUGAAAAAGGAAUUAUCUUCCAAUAAAAGGUAGAUAGAAGCAAUGUCAGAAACUUUUUCAUGAUGUAUCUACUCAGCUAACAGAGUUGAACCUUUCUUUUGAGAGAGCAGUUUUGAAACCCUCUUUUUGUGGAAUCUGCAAGUGGAUAUUUGUCUAGCUUUGAGGAUUUCGUUGGAAACGGGAUUACAUAUAAAAAGCAGACAGCAGCAUUCCCAGUAACUUCUUUGUGAUGUUUGCAUUCAAGUCACAGAGUUGAACAUUCCCUUUCAUAGAACAGGUUUGAAACAUUCUUUUUGUAGUAUCUGGAUGUGGACAUUUGGAGCGCUUUCAGGCCUAUGGUGAAAAAGGAAAUAUCUUCCCCUGAAAACUAGACAGAAGCAUUCUCAGAAUCUUAUUUGUGAUGUGCGCCCUCAACUAACAGUGUUGAAGCUUUCUUUUGAUAGAGCAGUUUUGAAACACACUUUUUGUAAAAUCUGCAAGAGGAUAUUUGGAUAGAUUUGAGGAUUUCGUUGGAAACGGGAUUGUCUUCAUAUAAACUCUAGGCAGAAGCAUUCUCAGAAGCUUCAUUGGGAUGUUUAAAUUGAAGUCACAGUGUUGAACAGUCCCUUUCAUAGAGCAGGUUUGAAACACUGUUUUUGUAGUAUCUGGAAGUGGACAUUUUGAGAGUUCUCAGGAAUACGGUGAAAAAGGAAAUAUCUUCCAAUAAAAGCUAGAUAGAAGCAAUGUCAGAAACUUUUUCAUGAUGUAUCUACUCAGCUAACAGAGUUGAACCUUUCUUUUCAGAGAGCAGUUUUGAAACACUCUUUUUGUGGAAUCUGCAAGUGGAUAUUUGUCUAGCUUUGAGGAUUUCGUUGGAAACGGGAUUACUUAUAAAAAGCAGACAGCAGCAUUCCCAGGAACUUCUUUGUGAUGUUUGCAUUCAAGUCACAGAGUUGAACAUUCCCUUUCAUAGAGCAGGUUUGAAACACUCUUUUUGUAGUAUCUGGAUGUGGACAUUUGGAGCGCUUUCAGGCCUAUGGUGAAAAAGGAAAUAUCUUCCCCUGAAAACUAGACAGAAGCAUUCUCAGAAACUUCUUUGUGAUGUGCGCCCUCAACUAACAGUGUAGAAGCUUUCUUUUGAUAGAGCAGUUUUGAAACACUCUUUUUGUGGAAUCUGCAAGUGGAUAUUUGUCUAAGUUUGAGGAUUUCGUUGGAAACGGGAUUACAUAUGAAAAGCAGACAGCAGCAUUCCCAGAAUCUUCUUUGUGAUGUUUGCAUUCAAGUCACAGAGUUGAACAUUCCCUUUCAUAGAGCAGGUUUGAAAAACUCUUUUUGUAGUAUCUGGAUGUGGACAUUUGGA
Molecule: long non-coding RNA, 2401 nt
Filed under: Homo sapiens (human)
Lineage: Eukaryota; Metazoa; Chordata; Mammalia; Primates; Hominidae
Description: HSALNT0035698
Source: RNAcentral